This 1123-nucleotide ribosomal RNA is filed under the name uncultured bacterium. Its description in RNAcentral is "bacterial SSU rRNA". It matches the Rfam family "Bacterial small subunit ribosomal RNA", at positions 8 to 1167 of the family's 1533-position model. The record is from RNAcentral.
AGAGUUUGAUCCUGGCUCAGAGCGAACGCUGGCGGCGUGCUUAACACAUGCAAGUCGAGUGCGCGGUGCCGUAGCAAUACGGUACUGGCGCACGGCGCACGGGUGCGUAACACGUGGGUAAUCUGCCCUCUGAUGGGGAAUAACUCGCCGAAAGGCGAGCUAAUUCCGCAUAACAUUCCUUGGACUCCGGUCCGAGGAUUCAAAGGCGUAAGUCGUCGGAGGUGGAGCCCGCGCACGAUUAGCUAGUUGGUGAGGUAAUGGCUCACCAAGGCUAUGAUCGUUAGCUGGUCUGAGAGGAUGGCCAGCCACACUGGAACUGAGACACGGUCCAGACUCCUACGGGAGGCAGCAGUGGGGAAUCUUGCACAAUGGGCGAAAGCCUGAUGCAGCGACGCCGCGUGGGGGAUGAAGCUUCUCGGAGUGUAAACCCCUUUCGACCGGGACGAAUACCUCGCAAGAGGGGUGACGGUACCGGUAUAAGAAGCCCCGGCUAACUACGUGCCAGCAGCCGCGGUAAGACGUAGGGGGCCAGCGUUGCUCGGAAUUACUGGGUGUAAAGGGUUCGUAGGCGGUGUGGCAAGUCGGGAGUGAAAUCUCUGGGCUCAACUCAGGGGCUGCUUCCGAAACUGCCGUGCUAGAGUGUGGGAGAGGCGCGUGGAAUUGCAGGUGUAGCGGUGAAAUGCGUAGAUAUCUGCAGGAACACCCGUGGCGAAAGCGGCGCGCUGGACCACUACUGACGCUGAGGAACGAAAGCUAGGGGAGCAAACAGGAUUAGAUACCCUGGUAGUCCUAGCCCUAAACGAUCAGGACUUGGGGUGCCACCCGUUCGGGUGUCGUCCCGGAGCUAACGCGUUAAGUCCUGCACCUGGGGAGUACGGUCGCAGACUGAAACUCAAAGGAAUUGACGGGGCCGCACAGCGGUGGAACAUGUGGUCAUUCGACGCUACGCGAGACUACUGGCUCGAAAUGCUCUGACAGCUGAGAAAUACGCUUCCCGCAAGUCGGAAUAUAGGCCUGCAUGCUUUCCUCAGCUCGUCUGAGGGUUGAUAGUUCCGCACGAGGCCACCCUGCACGGUAUGCACUCGAGAGGAACUUACUGGACCUCCGGUACGAGAAAUGUUGA